Molecule: ribosomal RNA, 472 nt
Filed under: uncultured archaeon
Lineage: Archaea
Description: bacterial SSU rRNA
Rfam family: Archaeal small subunit ribosomal RNA
Source: RNAcentral
UUCCGGUUGAUCCUGCCGGACCUGACUGCUAUCGGAUUGAUACUAAGCCAUGCGAGUCAUUGUAGCAAUACAAGGCAUACGGCUCAGUAACGCGUAGUCAACCUACCCUAUGGACGGGAAUAAUCUCGGGAAACUGAGAAUAAUGCCCGAUAGAACAUUAUGCCUGGAAUGGUUUAUGUUUCAAAUGAUUUAUCGCCGUAGGAUGGGACUGCGGCCUAUCAGUUUGUUGGUGAGGUAAUGGCCCACCAAGACUAUUACAGGUACGGGCUCUGAGAGGAGUAGCCCGGAGAUGGGUACUGAGACACGGACCCAGGCCCUAUGGGGCGCAGCAGGCGAGAAAACUUUGCAAUGUGCGAAAGCACGACAAGGUUAAUCCGAGUGGUUUGUGCUAAACGAACCUUUUGUCAGUCCUAGAAACACUAACGAAUAAGGGGUGGGCAAGUUCUGGUGUCAGCCGCCGCGGUAAUACCAG